Hermetia illucens (black soldier fly) is the source of this 604-nucleotide long non-coding RNA. RefSeq lists it as uncharacterized. The record is from RefSeq and is a predicted model, not a curated record. The transcript is spliced from 3 exons. NCBI's taxonomy places the organism in Eukaryota, Metazoa, Arthropoda, Insecta, Diptera, Stratiomyidae.
UUUUAAAGCUCAUGUAGUUUAUUUUUGUAACCUGUUAUCAGAGUAUUCAUUAUCCACUAAAGUUCAUAUCAACAUAACUUUUGAUAAAACUAAUACCAACAGACGGAACUUGCAAGAAAGAAACAUUAAACGUGUUUUUAUCUACGAAUAGAUGUAAUAAAAACAUAACGUGGACAUAUUUCAAGAGCUGAUGUGUCACAUACACAUAUGCAUUAUUUUGUCUGUAAGGAGUGGAAGGAUAAUUGGGUGGAGGUGGUGCUAGGCCUUUUGCAAUAUUAAAUUGUUAAUAAUCACUCUCCAGAAAGAUUUAUUUUGGAAGAAAUGGAAUCUUCUGCAACUUCCUCUAACAUGCCUGAAUGUUACUUGCAAGAGAAGACAAUUUUCUCUAAUUGUCGCAGAUAAGAGAUCUUGCACCAUUGACAGUGCUGUACAAAUGGCAAUAACAACGACUAUAUAAGAAUUUCAACAAUUUUAUUGAAAAUUGCAAUGAUUGUUUCCCUCAAUCAAGAUGGAACGAUGGCGUAGGCCAGGACGCCAGGCAGAUUUUUGUAAUAUCGAAUUGGUGGUCUUCGGGGCAUACUGGGAUGUCUGGAGUUCCUUAUUA